RNAcentral lists this ribosomal RNA (371 nucleotides) under uncultured bacterium. Its description in RNAcentral is "bacterial SSU rRNA". It matches the Rfam family "Bacterial small subunit ribosomal RNA", at positions 521 to 896 of the family's 1533-position model. The record is from RNAcentral.
UAAUACGGAGGGUGCAAGCGUUAUCCGGAUUUAUUGGGUUUAAAGGGUCCGUAGGCGGACCAUUAAGUCAGUGGUGAAAGCCCUCUGCUCAACAGAGGAACUGCCAUUGAUACUGAUGGUCUUGAGUAUAAGUGAGGUUGGCGGAAUGUGUGGUGUAGCGGUGAAAUGCUUAGAUAUCACACAGAACACCGAUUGCGAAGGCAGCUGGCCAACUUAUAACUGACGCUGAGGGACGAAAGUGUGGGGAUCAAACAGGAUUAGAUACCCUGGUAGUCCACACCGUAAACGAUGAUUACUAGAUUUUGGCCUUAUGGUCAGAGUCCAAGCGAAAGUGUUUAGUAAUCCACCUGGGGAGUACGUCCGCAAGGAUG